This 84-nucleotide transfer RNA is filed under the name Bacteroidales bacterium. Its description in RNAcentral is "tRNA-Leu". It matches the Rfam family "tRNA". From Rfam's summary of the family: Transfer RNA (tRNA) molecules are approximately 80 nucleotides in length. Their secondary structure includes four short double-helical elements and three loops (D, anti-codon, and T loops). The record is from RNAcentral. Lineage: Bacteria; Pseudomonadati; Bacteroidota; Bacteroidia; Bacteroidales.
GCCCAGAUGGCGAAAUUGGUAGACGCGCUAGUUUCAGGGACUAGUGCCAGCAAUGGUGUGCAGGUUCGAGUCCUGUUCUGGGCA